ACAAGCGGAGGAACAUGUGGUUUAAUUCGAUGAUACGCGAGGAACCUUACCUGGGCUUAAAUGUAGAGUGCAUGAUGUGGAAACAUGUCUUCCCUUCGGGGCUCUCUGCAAGGUGCUGCAUGGUUGUCGUCAGCUCGUGCCGUGAGGUGUCGGGUUAAGUCCCAUAACGAGCGCAACCCUUAUCGUUAGUUGCCAGCGGGUAAUGCCGGGAACUCUAACGAAACUGCCGGUGUAAACCGAGAGGAAGGUGGGAUGACGUCAAAUCAGCACGGCCCUUAUGUCCCAGGGCUACACACGUGUUACAAUGGCCGGUACAGAGGGCAGCUACCUGGAGACAGGAUGCGAAUCUCGAAAGCCGGUCUCAGUUCGGAUCGGAGUCUGCAACUCGACUCCGUGAAGCUGGAUUCGCUAGUAAUCGCGCAUCAGCCAUGGCGCGGUGAAUACGUUCCCGGGCCUU
RNAcentral lists this ribosomal RNA (457 nucleotides) under uncultured Sphingobacteriales bacterium. Its description in RNAcentral is "bacterial SSU rRNA". It matches the Rfam family "Bacterial small subunit ribosomal RNA", at positions 925 to 1382 of the family's 1533-position model. The record is from RNAcentral. Lineage: Bacteria; Pseudomonadati; Bacteroidota; Sphingobacteriia; Sphingobacteriales.